UGGAGCCCAAAGUCUCGAGCAAAAUCAAACUGCAGAGAGGCAGGAAAGAAGACAUCUUUCAGAGAAGCCAAGCUACAAACAGAGUGAAGCAGGUGACCCCUUUUUCAAGGAUUCCACAAACAUGGUACAAGACUGUGUGUACAGUGCAUAUUCCUAUGAAGAGGUCCUGCCCCAUCAUCCUGGCCACAACUGAGACCCCUGAUGACAUUGAGAUUCAGUCUCUGAAGGACCUGAACUAAGAUACAAAGACAGAUUAACUGCAAUCAACUACCUCUCCUGGAAAAAAUGGAUACUCUCAAAUAUACUCAAAAUUUUACAAUCAAAAAAAUAAGGAGAGGGGGAUCAAGAUGGCAGAGGAGGAGGAUGUGGAGCUCACCUCCCCACACAAACAC
Long non-coding RNA from Orcinus orca (killer whale), 392 nucleotides. RefSeq lists it as uncharacterized. Lineage: Eukaryota; Metazoa; Chordata; Mammalia; Artiodactyla; Delphinidae. The record is from RefSeq and is a predicted model, not a curated record. The transcript is spliced from 3 exons.